UCUCCUGGCUCUUCACUACAGAGGGCUUGAA
Molecule: non-coding RNA, 31 nt
Filed under: Homo sapiens (human)
Lineage: Eukaryota; Metazoa; Chordata; Mammalia; Primates; Hominidae
Source: RNAcentral